Molecule: long non-coding RNA, 407 nt
Filed under: Elaeis guineensis (African oil palm)
Lineage: Eukaryota; Viridiplantae; Streptophyta; Magnoliopsida; Arecales; Arecaceae
Description: long non-coding RNA (EGUI_LNC065064)
Source: RNAcentral
GCCUAAUUGACUGACACAUUCCUGUACAAAUCUAAAGACAAAUUUAUAAUUUUGACUAUAAAUCAAUAAAUGGAUUAUUCUUCUAUCACAUUGUGUACAUUGUGUCUAUGAUACAUCCUUUGAGUUAGUAGGAAUGUCAAUUCAUAUUUUCAAGAGUUGAAAAUUUAAGACAUGAAUUUACAUAACUAACUCAUAAACAGCUCCUGACCAUAAGAUCAUCACGAGGAUGGUGAUCGAUCUGGAAUGUUGGUGUACGAUCGCUUCCUUAGGAUAGAUGUGUUUUGAGUCUACGGUGUGGAGACACCAAAGUGAGAGUACAAGUAUUCAUUGAGAACGAGAGUACUGAGCGUGACCACCUCGAGCAGUCAUAAGGAAGUCUACCUUCUCGUCGAUGACUAGCUCGAUGC